AUUUCCUCUGUCCCUAUCUACUAUCUAGCGAAACCACUGCCAAGGGAACGGGCUUGGAAAAAUCAGCGGGGAAAGAAGACCCUGUUGAGCUUGACUCUAGUCUGGCACUGUAAGGAGACAUGAGAGGUGUAGCAUAAGUGGGAGACGGUAUCCAUCCCGUCGCCGGUGAAAUACCACUACUUUCAUCGUUUCUUUACUUACUUGGUUAGGCGGAGGGCGUACGUCGAGGGCAUUAGCCCCGGCGUUACGGUCUUCUCGCGCCAAGCGUUCAAGGGUUGCCGGCGGACAGAGGUGCGGGCUGCUCGUCGGUGAGUCGUGGUCCUGGUUCGCCAGUCCACGGCCCGGCUGUGGCUGCGGCACUCUCUGCCACCGACCGGCAAACACUCCCUAGCGUGAUCCGAUCCGAGGACACUGCCAGGCGGGGAGUUUGACUGGGGCGGUACUUCUGUCAAAGAAUAACGCAGGUGUCCUAAGGCCAGCUCAGUGAGGACAGAAACCUCGCGUAGAGCAAAAGGGCAAAUGCUGG
Molecule: ribosomal RNA, 526 nt
Filed under: Mukariini gen. 1 sp. 2 MR-2022a
Lineage: Eukaryota; Metazoa; Arthropoda; Insecta; Hemiptera; Cicadellidae
Description: partial large subunit ribosomal RNA
Rfam family: Eukaryotic large subunit ribosomal RNA
Source: RNAcentral